Molecule: long non-coding RNA, 2102 nt
Organism: Bactrocera neohumeralis
Lineage: Eukaryota; Metazoa; Arthropoda; Insecta; Diptera; Tephritidae
Exons: 3
Source: RefSeq, a predicted model, not a curated record
ACCUUUUUAUGUUAUUUUUGCUUAUAUUUCAUAAAAGGCACAACAUUUUGGGAUUUCCUUUUACGAAUUCCUGCAUUGAGUGAAAUCGCUUUGAAAAAGUGCAAAAUAUUUUUUAUAAUUUGAUAAAAAAUGACACAAUCAAAACUAAGCAUAAUACAGACAAUAAUGGAAGACAUUAUGGAUAUUGAUAAGUAUAGUGAUUUUGAGGACGAUGAGAAUGUAUUGGAAGAAUUGCCAGGUGGCGAAUCAUCUGAAAAGUAUGCUACAUUGCUAGUGAAGAAGAAGACAGUAUUGCUGAAGCUGAUAUAAGUAACAUUCCCGUGUACUUUUCAAAGCAGCAACCAAUAGCACUAGAGCCAGAACAGAAAAUAUAAUUCGGCCCCGGUAACAGUAUAUUCAAUUCAGCGAAUAUCAAAUAUAAAAGAAACAUUUGACCUGUGCUAAAGUUCACCAACAUCGAGGACGCUAAAAAUUGGAGAGAAAUAGAAACCAAUUGAUGAAAUAGAAUUUAAUGGAUUUUUGGGUAUUUUGUUAUUAGGAGAAACAGGCGUUUAUCGGUCGCAGUCUUUGAGAUGAAGUUCAUGGUCGUUUAAUAUUUUGCGUUGUAAUGUCCCUUACAAGGUUUUCGGAAGUAACUUGUGUGCUGAGGUUCGUUAACAGAGAUAAUCGCAGAGCGAGAGUAUAUGAUAAACUUGCUCCAAUUCGGGAUUUUUACGAGAAAAGGAGGCAGAUACUCAUUCUUAGCUUACAUGCUAAGCAAGCCAAGUAAAUACGGGAUAAAGGCAUGGGUAGCAGUGGGUAUGAAUGACGAAAUAUAACAAACAGAUAACUUUUUUACAACUCGAGAUUUGGCAUUACUUUUACUGAAUAAUAAUAUGACAUUGAUGGGCACUAUGAGAAAUAAUAAGACGUUUCUUCUUUGAUGGAUAUCAUCAUUGUUCAACAAAUUCCUAUAAAGUAUACUUGAAAAAUGGUUAGUGAAUUGAGCACUCUUUAUCAUAACAAAAAUCUUAUUGAAAACCAUCCCAAGAAGUUGCAGGAAAUAAAAUAUUUUUAUAAUUCUACAAAAUCUGAAGCAGACAUAAUUGACCAAUUAGUAUAAACAUAUACAUACAUGCAAGAGACAAACUAAUCGUUGUCCCUUAGCUGUCUUCUCGAGUAUUGUGGAUGUUUGUGGAUGUUUCGGCGCUAAAUGGCUAAGUUUUAUGGACAGAAAUUCACUCUAAUUGGAAUGCGUCAAAACAUACUAUAUACGCGAAAAUUUUCUCAAAAACUUGGCCUAUACCUUGUUCAGGGUGAAAGAACUCGUAGAAAACACGUACCUAAUCAAGUAAGGAAGGGCUAAGUUCGGGUGUCACCGAACAUUUUAUACUCUCGCAUGAUAAAGUGAUAAUCGAGAUUUCAUUAUCCGUCAUUUACAUAUUUUUCAAAUACCGUAUUAGUGUAAAGUUUUAUUCCGCUAUCAUCAUUAGUUCCUAAUGUAUAUUAUACAUUAACAUUUUAUACUCUCGCAUGAUAAAGUGAUAAUCGAGAUUUCAUUAUCCGUCAUUUACAUAUUUUUCAAAUACCGUAUUUGUGUAAAGUUUUAUUCCGCUAUCAUCAUUAGUUCCUAAUGUAUAUUAUACAGAGAAGUCAUCAGAUGGAAUUCAAAAUAGCAUUAUAUUGGAAGAAGGCGUGGUUGAGAACCGAUUUCACCAAUAUUUCGUACAUGUCAUCAGGGUGUUAAGAAAGUAUUAUAUACCGAAUUUCAUUGAAAUCGGUAAAAUAGUUCCUGAGAUAUGGUUUUUGGUCCAUAAGUGGGCGAUGCCACGCCCAUUUUAAAUUUUUAAAAAAAGCCUGGGUGCAGCUUCUUUCUGCCAUUUCUUCCGUAAAAUUUAGUGUUUCUGACGUUUUUUGUUAGUUGGUUAACGUUCGUGGUUAUUAUUCGAUUUCUUCCAUUUUUGAACUGUAUAUGAAAAUGCCUGAAGGAAACGACUCUAUAGAGUUUGGUUGACGUAGCUAUAGUAGUUUCCGAGAUAUGUACAAAAACUUAGUAGGGGGCGGGGCCACGCCCACUUUUCCAAAAAAAUUACGUCCAAAUAUACCCCUCCCUAAUGCGAUCC